This 377-nucleotide unclassified non-coding RNA is filed under the name uncultured Oligoflexaceae bacterium. RNAcentral describes it as "contains 16S-23S intergenic spacer region". The record is from RNAcentral. Lineage: Bacteria; Pseudomonadati; Bdellovibrionota; Oligoflexia; Oligoflexales; Oligoflexaceae.
UCCGGUUUAACACCGGCAGUCCCUUUAGAGUCCCCAACUUAAUGCUGGUAACUAAAGGCAAGGGUUGCGCUCGUUGCGGGACUUAACCCAACAUCCUACGACACGAGCUGACGACAGCCAUGCAGCACCUAUCCUAGCGUCUCCGAAGAGAAAGCCUCAUCUCUGAGGUUGUCGCUAAAUGUUAAGCCCAGGUAAGGUUCUGCGCGUUGCUUCGAAUUAAACCACAUACUCCACCGCUUGUGCGGGCCCCCGUCAAUUCCUUUGAGUUUUAGCCUUGCGACCGUACUCCCCAGGCGGGAUACUUAAUGCGUGAACUUCGGUACUCAGAGGGUUAAUACUCCGAACACCUAGUAUCCAUCGUUUACGGCGUGGACUAC